UAUAGUAGGAGAAAUACACGUAUAUCAGCUACUAUGUAGUAGGAGAAAUACACGUAUAUCAGCUACUAUAUAGUAGGAGAAAUACAUGUAUAUCAGCUACUAUAUAGUAGGAGAAAUACACGUAUAUCAGCUACUAUAUAGUAGGAGAAAUACACGUACAUCAUCUACUAUAUAGUAGGAGAAAUACACGUAUAUCAGCUACUAUAUAGACGGAGAAAUACACGUAUAUCAGCUACUAUGUAGUAGGAGAAAUACACGUAUAUCAGCUACUAUAUAGUAGGCAAGUACGCGGUUUGGGACGCAGUCCACAGAUUCAAGCAGUCGUCUAUUAGCACGUACAACAUGACAAAUAAUUAACUGCACUUGAAGCGUUCAUAAAAAUUAAAAAUAAAAACACCCAAAACUGUAUACGGUCCCAUAACGAAGACCAACUGUAUGUCGAUACGUGAAAUUCUGGAGGGAACGUCGGACAGCGUGGCGCGGGGACAUAAUGACGUGACGUUAAUCGAUCUAUGUUCUACAACAUGUAACACAGGAACAUGAAAGGAGUAUUCUAAAAGCGACUCAUGUAAACACCUUAAUCACAAUAUUGUCUUAUUCAGAAUAAGGUCAGUGAUUAGAUUACCGCUGUCCGUGUAAACGUAGUCACAGUUCCUAAGAGCCAAAUAUGUAUUAGGAUAUUUGUUCUGAUUAAUAAACAGUAGUGCACUCAACAGCAUUGAGGUGAAAUCUAUGAACCAUUUAAAUGUGUUCUGUUUGAACAAUUUUAUUAAAUGUGAUA
Long non-coding RNA from Ictalurus punctatus (channel catfish), 781 nucleotides. The record is from Ensembl. Lineage: Eukaryota; Metazoa; Chordata; Actinopteri; Siluriformes; Ictaluridae.